GAGGGAAGAAGGUGACUGAUCCCGGUAAAGAAUUACUGGAUAACUCCGUGCCAGCAGCCGCGGUAAUACGGAGGGGGUUAGCGUUGUUCGGAAUUACUGGGCGUAAAGCGCAUGUAAGCGGAUGAUUGAGUUGGACAUGAAAGCCCGGGGCUCAACCCUGGAACUGCCUUUGAAACUCCUGGUCUUGAGUUCGAGAGAGGUGAGUGGAAUUCCAAGUGUAGAGGUGAAAUUCAUAUAUAUUUGGAGGAACACCAUUGGCGAAGGCGGCUCACUGGCUCGAUACUGACGCUGAGGUGCGAAAGUGUGGGGAGCAAACAGGAUUAGAUACCCUGGUAGUCCACACCGUAAACGAUGAAUGCCAGUCGUCGGGUAGUAUACUGUUCGGUGACACACCUAACGGAUUAAGCAUUCCGCCUGGGGAGUACGGUCGCAAGAUUAAAACUCAAAGGAAUUGACGGAGAU
Molecule: ribosomal RNA, 462 nt
Filed under: uncultured bacterium
Lineage: Bacteria
Description: bacterial SSU rRNA
Rfam family: Bacterial small subunit ribosomal RNA
Source: RNAcentral